RNAcentral lists this ribosomal RNA (490 nucleotides) under uncultured bacterium. RNAcentral's name for it is "partial 16S ribosomal RNA". It matches the Rfam family "Bacterial small subunit ribosomal RNA", at positions 30 to 507 of the family's 1533-position model. The record is from RNAcentral.
AUUGAACGCUGGCGGCAGGCCUAACACAUGCAAGUCGAAUGGUAACAGGAAACAGCUUGCUGUUUCGCUGACGAGUGGCGGACGGGUGAGUAAUGUCUGGGAAACUGCCUGAUGGAGGGGGAUAACUACUGGAAACGGUAGCUAAUACCGCAUAACGUCGCAAGACCAAAGAGGGGGACCUUCGGGCCUCUUGCCAUCAGAUGUGCCCAGAUGGGAUUAGCUAGUAGGUGGGGUAACGGCUCACCUAGGCGACGAUCCCUAGCUGGUCUGAGAGGAUGACCAGCCACACUGGAACUGAGACACGCUCCAGACUCCUACGGGAGGCAGCAGUGGGGAAUAUUGCACAAUGGGCGCAAGCCUGAUGCAGCCAUGCCGCGUGUAUGAAGAAGGCCUUCGGGUUGUAAAGUACUUUCAGCGGGGAGGAAGGGAGUAAAGUUAAUACCUUUGCUCAUUGACGUUACCCGCAGAAGAAGCACCGGCUAACUCCGUG